Molecule: ribosomal RNA, 551 nt
Filed under: Mycolicibacterium fortuitum
Lineage: Bacteria; Bacillati; Actinomycetota; Actinomycetes; Mycobacteriales; Mycobacteriaceae
Description: bacterial SSU rRNA
Rfam family: Bacterial small subunit ribosomal RNA
Source: RNAcentral
GACGAACGCUGGCGGCGUGCUUAACACAUGCAAGUCGAACGGAAAGGCCCUUCGGGGUACUCGAGUGGCGAACGGGUGAGUAACACGUGGGUGAUCUGCCCUGCACUUUGGGAUAAGCCUGGGAAACUGGGUCUAAUACCGAAUAUGACCACGCGCUUCAUGGUGUGUGGUGGAAAGCUUUUGCGGUGUGGGAUGGGCCCGCGGCCUAUCAGCUUGUUGGUGGGGUAAUGGCCUACCAAGGCGACGACGGGUAGCCGGCCUGAGAGGGUGACCGGCCACACUGGGACUGAGAUACGGCCCAGACUCCUACGGGAGGCAGCAGUGGGGAAUAUUGCACAAUGGGCGCAAGCCUGAUGCAGCGACGCCGCGUGAGGGAUGACGGCCUUCGGGUUGUAAACCUCUUUCAAUAGGGACGAAGCGCAAGUGACGGUACCUAUAGAAGAAGGACCGGCCAACUACGUGCCAGCAGCCGCGGUAAUACGUAGGGUCCGAGCGUUGUCCGGAAUUACUGGGCGUAAAGAGCUCGUAGGUGGUUUGUCGCGUUGUUCGUG